CCUACGUGAGGCAGCAGUGGGGAAUAUUGCACAAUGGGGGAAACCCUGAUGCAGCGACGCCGCGUGAGUGAAGACGUAAUUCGUUAUGUAAAGCUCUAUUUGCAGGGAAGAAAAUGACGGUACCUGAGUAAGAAGCCCCGUCUAACUACGUGACAGCAGCCGCGGUAAUACGUAGGGGGCAAGCGUUAUCCGGAUUGACUGGGUGUAAAGGGAGCGUAGACGGCAGUGCAAGUCUGGAGUGAAAGGCGGGGGCUCAACCCCCGGACUGCACUGGAAACUGUACGGCUGGAGUGCAGGAGAGGUAAGUGGAAUUCCUAGUGUAGCGGUGAAAUGCGUAGAUAUUAGGAGGAACACCAGUGGCGAAGGCGGCUUACUGGACUGUAACUGACGUUGAGGCUCGAAAGCGUGGGGAGCAAACAGGAUUAGAUACCCGAGUAGUC
Molecule: ribosomal RNA, 440 nt
Filed under: uncultured bacterium
Lineage: Bacteria
Description: partial 16S ribosomal RNA
Rfam family: Bacterial small subunit ribosomal RNA
Source: RNAcentral